GGUGGGGUACCGAAGCGGUCAAACGGGGCAGACUGUAAAUCUGCUGGCUUAUGCCUUCGUAGGUUCGAAUCCUACCCCCACCA
This 83-nucleotide transfer RNA is filed under the name Gemmatimonadota bacterium. RNAcentral describes it as "Gemmatimonadetes bacterium tRNA-Tyr". It matches the Rfam family "tRNA". Rfam says of the family: Transfer RNA (tRNA) molecules are approximately 80 nucleotides in length. Their secondary structure includes four short double-helical elements and three loops (D, anti-codon, and T loops). Lineage: Bacteria; Pseudomonadati; Gemmatimonadota. The record is from RNAcentral.